RNAcentral lists this ribosomal RNA (464 nucleotides) under uncultured bacterium. Its description in RNAcentral is "bacterial SSU rRNA". It matches the Rfam family "Bacterial small subunit ribosomal RNA", at positions 338 to 795 of the family's 1533-position model. The record is from RNAcentral.
CCUACGGGAUGCACCAGUGGGGAAUAUUGCACAAUGGGCGCAAGCCUGAUGCAGCCAUGCCGCGUGUAUGAAGAAGGCCUUCGGGUUGUAAAGUACUUUCAGCGGGGAGGAAGGUGUUGUGGUUAAUACCGCAGCAAUUGACGUUACCCGCAGAAGAAGCACCGGCUAACUCCGUGCCAGCAGCCGCGGUAAUACGGAGGGUGCAAGCGUUAAUCGGAAUUACUGGGCGUAAAGCGCACGCAGGCGGUCUGUCAAGUCGGAUGUGAAAUCCCCGGGCUCAACCUGGGAACUGCAUUCGAAACUGGCAGGCUAGAGUCUUGUAGAGGGGGGUAGAAUUCCAGGUGUAGCGGUGAAAUGCGUAGAGAUCUGGAGGAAUACCGGUGGCGAAGGCGGCCCCCUGGACAAAGACUGACGCUCAGGUGCGAAAGCGUGGGGAGCAAACAGGAUUAGAUACCCCAGUAGUC